Molecule: ribosomal RNA, 1367 nt
Filed under: uncultured bacterium
Lineage: Bacteria
Description: bacterial SSU rRNA
Rfam family: Bacterial small subunit ribosomal RNA
Source: RNAcentral
GACGAACGCUGGCGGCGUGCCUAAUACAUGCAAGUAGAACGCUGAAGGAGGAGCUUGCUUCUCUGGAUGAGUUGCGAACGGGUGAGUAACGCGUAGGUAACCUGCCUGGUAGCGGGGGAUAACUAUUGGAAACGAUAGCUAAUACCGCAUAAGAGUGGAUGUUGCAUGACAUUUGCUUAAAAGGUGCACUUGCAUCACUACCAGAUGGACCUGCGUUGUAUUAGCUAGUUGGUGGGGUAAGGGCUCACCAAGGCGACGAUACAUAGCCGACCUGAGAGGGUGAUCGGCCACACUGGGACUGAGACACGGCCCAGACUCCUACGGGAGGCAGCAGUAGGGAAUCUUCGGCAAUGGACGGAAGUCUGACCGAGCAACGCCGCGUGAGUGAAGAAGGUUUUCGGAUCGUAAAGCUCUGUUGUAAGAGAAGAACGAGUGUGAGAGUGGAAAGUUCACACUGUGACGGUAUCUUACCAGAAAGGGACGGCUAACUACGUGCCAGCAGCCGCGGUAAUACGUAGGUCCCGAGCGUUGUCCGGAUUUAUUGGGCGUAAAGCGAGCGCAGGCGGUUAGAUAAGUCUGAAAUUAAAGGCUGUGGCUUAACCAUAGUAGGCUUUGGAAACUGUUUAACUUGAGUGCAAGAGGGGAGAGUGGAAUUCCAUGUGUAGCGGUGAAAUGCGUAGAUAUAUGGAGGAACACCGGUGGCGAAAGCGGCUCUCUGGCUUGUAACUGACGCUGAGGCUCGAAAGCGUGGGGAGCAAACAGGAUUAGAUACCCUGGCAGUCCACGCUGUAAACGAUGAGUGCUAGGUGUUAGACCCUUUCCGGGGUUUAGUGCCGUAGCUAACGCAUUAAGCACUCCGCCUGGGGAGUACGACCGCAAGGUUGAAACUCAAAGGAAUUGACGGGGGCCCGCACAAGCGGUGGAACAUGUGGUUUAAUUCGAAGCAACGCGAAGAACCUUACCAGGUCUUGACAUCCCUCUGACCGCUCUAGAGAUAGAGUUUUCCUUCGGGACAGAGGUGACAGGUGGUGCAUGGUUGUCGUCAGCUCGUGUCGUGAGAUGUUGGGUUAAGUCCCGCAACGAGCGCAACCCCUAUUGUUAGUUGCCAUCAUUUAGUUGGGCACUCUAGCGAGACUGCCGGUAAUAAACCGGAGGAAGGUGGGGAUGACGUCAAAUCAUCAUGCCCCUUAUGACCUGGGCUACACACGUGCUACAAUGGCUGGUACAACGAGUCGCAAGCCGGUGACGGCAAGCUAAUCUCUUAAAGCCAGUCUCAGUUCGGAUUGUAGGCUGCAACUCGCCUACAUGAAGUCGGAAUCGCUAGUAAUCGCGGAUCAGCACGCCGCGGUGAAUACGUUCCCGGGCCU